GUGGGGUGAUGGCCUACCAAGGCGACGAACGGGUAGCCGGCCUGAGAGGGCGACCGGCCACACUGGGACUGAGACACGGCCCAGACUCCUACGGGAGGCAGCAGUGGGGAAUAUUGCGCAAUGGGCGAAAGCCUGACGCAGCGACGCCGCGUGAGGGAUGACGGCCUUCGGGUUGUAAACCUCUUUCAGCAGGGACGAAGCGCAAGUGACGGUACCUGCAGAAGAAGCACCGGCCAAUUACGUGCCAGCAGCCGCGGUAAUACGUAGGGUGCAAGCGUUGUCCGGAAUUAUUGGGCGUAAAGAGCUCGUAGGCGGCUUGUCACGUCGGCUGUGAAAACUCGGGGCUCAACCCCGAGCCUGCAGUCGAUACGGGCAGGCUAGAGUCCGGGGAGGGGAGACUGGAAUUCCUGGUGUAGCGGUGAAAUGCGCAGAUAUCAGGAGGAACACCGGUGGCGAAGGCGGGUCUCUGGGCCGGAACUGACGCUAAGGAGCGAAAGCGUGGGGAGCGAACAGGAUUAGAUACCCUGGUAGUCCACGCCGUAAACGUUGGGCGCUAGGUGUGGGGGACCUUCCACGGCCUCCGUGCCGCAGCUAACGC
RNAcentral lists this ribosomal RNA (598 nucleotides) under uncultured Frankia sp. Its description in RNAcentral is "bacterial SSU rRNA". It matches the Rfam family "Bacterial small subunit ribosomal RNA", at positions 252 to 858 of the family's 1533-position model. Lineage: Bacteria; Bacillati; Actinomycetota; Actinomycetes; Frankiales; Frankiaceae. The record is from RNAcentral.